GGGAGCGUAGCUCAGAUGAAAGAGCGCUCGCUUAGCAUGCGAGAGGUACGGGGAUCGAUACCCUGCGCCUCCA
This 73-nucleotide transfer RNA is filed under the name Trichonephila inaurata madagascariensis. It matches the Rfam family "tRNA". Rfam says of the family: Transfer RNA (tRNA) molecules are approximately 80 nucleotides in length. Lineage: Eukaryota; Metazoa; Arthropoda; Arachnida; Araneae; Nephilidae. The record is from Rfam by way of RNAcentral.